UACGUAGGGAGCAAGCGUUGUCCGGAUUCACUGGGUGUAAAGGGUGCGCAGGCGGAUUGGCAAGUCAGAGGUGAAAUCUCACGGCUCAACCGUGAAACUGCCUUUGAUACUGCUGAUCUUGAGUUAGGGAGAGGUUGAUGGAAUUCUAGGUGUAGCGGUGAAAUGCGUAGAUAUCGGAAGGAACACCUGUGGCGAAAGCGGCUCACUGGACCAUAACUGACGCUGAGGCGCGAAAGCUAGGGGAGCAAACAGG
RNAcentral lists this ribosomal RNA (253 nucleotides) under uncultured bacterium. Its description in RNAcentral is "partial 16S ribosomal RNA". It matches the Rfam family "Bacterial small subunit ribosomal RNA", at positions 524 to 776 of the family's 1533-position model. The record is from RNAcentral.